CCCCCCCAGCAGCCGGCUCGACACCGCCCUUUCCCUCUGAAGGGCCACUCGUUUUAGCCACGUCCUCUUAUUGUCCCUCCCCUGGCCACACCCCUUCAGACAUGCGUAGUGCUCCCCUUGGUCCAGCGCGGGAAGCUCCCUCGUGAGUGUCCGAAACUAUUAGCUCACUCACUGCCUCAUGUGAAGAUUAACUCUUAAGUACUCCACAACUACACGCUUUUGAAACUGGCGUUGGCAUAGCGUUAGUUCUGUGCAGGGCGGACGCAGCAGGACAGAAUCUCCCUGGGCAUCUUUUCGGAGCAUCAAUUUUACUGCAAAAUUUUGAAAAAACAAAUUUAAUUGAUUUCCAAGGUUUGUCAAGGAGGACAGAAACUCAGAGCACCCUGCACUUGGGGAUCGGCACUAGGAGCUGCUCUCUGGAUGGGGAGAUGGGAGCUAGCAGCUCACAAUGGGGUCACAAGAAUAUUGGUUCUUCUUUUAUCUGAAGUGAGGAGCACCAGAGGACUGAUCACGGCAUAGACAUUGACUACAAGACUCUGAACUUGCUG
RNAcentral lists this long non-coding RNA (548 nucleotides) under Homo sapiens (human). Its description in RNAcentral is "HSALNT0341091". Lineage: Eukaryota; Metazoa; Chordata; Mammalia; Primates; Hominidae. The record is from RNAcentral.